CUCUACGAUGCUUUCCGAAUACCAUUGAUUAUUAGCUAUUGCUUUUAUGUAAUGUUUCUCUUCAUUCUGUCUCUUCUUUUCUCUAUUAGCUAGAUGGAUAUGGAGGCAUUCUGGAGAGAUCUACAGACACAGUCGAUUAAACUACAAAAAGCCGAGGAGACAUGGGAGUUCCCGAAACAAUGUAAGCUUAACGGUGUAUUCCCUAUAACCUUCUGGAAUAUAAAGUUGCUGGUUAGCUCCAGGAGAAUAUUAGAAAAUACGAGGAGAAUUUGCCUGAAAGCAGUGACAACAAAUGUGAGGAGAAAAGUGUUUCAGCUAGCACAGAAAGAGACAACUAGAACCGGAGAAAUAUGGUGUAGACCUGGAAGAAAUAGCAGUUAGGUUAGCAUCCUUACAAGACGAGCUUACAAGAAUAAGAGAGGCUGAGAAAGAAAUAUGUUAGAAAACUCAGAUGGCUGAUCACGAAGCAAUUAAAGAAAACUAAACUAGAGGUACCGAAACUAGAGGACCAGCAUAUGCAAUAAGAACAGUAGACAGAAUCUAUGAAAUGGUACCGCAGUUUGAAAGGCUGAUAACGCAGGAGAACAAUAUGGACAAAUUGGAGAGGGAAAUAUACAGAUGGAGAUUUAUAGAAGAAGCGAUGAAGAAAAGAAGAAAUAGCAGCAACCAAGGACGAGAGGCAAGAGAAUAGAGGCAAUUAUUAAAGCAAACAUAUAAAUGGUUAUCGGAGAAUGACUUAUCAAUAACGAGAGAGGAUAAGUCAAAAAGGCUAGUACUCAGAAGAGAAACUUAUGAUACUUUCAUGGAAAGUUAUAUCAGACAGACAGAAGCGGAACUCUUAACGAAAGACCCAAUGAUGGCAUUAAAGAGGAAAUGUGAGAACUUAU
This 887-nucleotide long non-coding RNA is filed under the name Androctonus crassicauda. The record is from RNAcentral. Lineage: Eukaryota; Metazoa; Arthropoda; Arachnida; Scorpiones; Buthidae.